RNAcentral lists this ribosomal RNA (232 nucleotides) under uncultured bacterium. RNAcentral describes it as "partial 16S ribosomal RNA". It matches the Rfam family "Bacterial small subunit ribosomal RNA", at positions 99 to 334 of the family's 1533-position model. The record is from RNAcentral.
CGGACGGGUGAGUAAUGUCUGGGAAACUGCCUGAUGGAGGGGGAUAACUACUGGAAACGGUAGCUAAUACCGCAUAAUGUCUACGGACCAAAGCGGGGGACCUCCGGGCCUUGCGCCAUCAGAUGAACCCAUAUGGGAUUAGCUAGUAGGUGGGGUAACGGCUCACCUAGGCGACGAUCCCUAGCUGGUCUGAGAGGAUGACCAGCCACACUGGAACUGAGACACGGUCCAG